UCAGCGUCCUUGCAAAAUACUCAUUCACAGAUUCUCCGGUUUUCAUGUUCAGAAUUUCAAACUCUUUACGAAGAGCUUAUAAUUGAGCCCGCUUGACUCGAAUCGUGCCUUGAUACUUCUUCUUUAAGGAGUCCCAUAUGUCUUUGGCGGUGUCUUUCUUGAGAAUAGUCUCUAGAACAACUCGAUCAAUUCCUUGAUACAAGUAAUUCUUCGCCUUUAGAUCCUUUAGCUUCAUGUCGUUUCUUGCCUUUAACUGUGCCUCAUUCAAGGCUGCUUCAUCUUUUAC
RNAcentral lists this long non-coding RNA (286 nucleotides) under Trifolium pratense (red clover). RNAcentral's name for it is "long non-coding RNA (TPRA_LNC001578)". The record is from RNAcentral. Lineage: Eukaryota; Viridiplantae; Streptophyta; Magnoliopsida; Fabales; Fabaceae.